Molecule: long non-coding RNA, 277 nt
Filed under: Ananas comosus (pineapple)
Lineage: Eukaryota; Viridiplantae; Streptophyta; Magnoliopsida; Poales; Bromeliaceae
Description: long non-coding RNA (ACOM_LNC011311)
Source: RNAcentral
AGUUGAAAAUAAAUACUUUAAGGCCGUGUUUGGUAAUAGGAUAAUUUCUUCAGGGUUAAAUUUUUUUAUUCCUAGAAUAUUGAGCUAUUCUAGGAUAGAGAGGAAUGAAAGUAAUUUUUUGUUUGGUAAAAUUUUUACUUUUUCUCUGCAAUAGACAAAAUGAUGUUGGGUAACUUUCUUGAAAAAAGAGAAGAAUAAUUAGUAAAGUUGAUUGAAAUAUUUUAAAAUGCCAAGUUUACCCGUAUAUAUACAGUGAAUUUUUUUCUUUGUAUAAUAC